AUGGCUACUGUUGACAGCUUCUACAGCUAGUACAGGGAAAUCGCCAGGUCUUGCAGUUGCUACAUGGAGGCAUUGGCCUUGGUGGGGGCCUGGUACACAGCUCCGAAGAGCAUCACAGUCAUCUGUGACUUCUACAGCCUGGUUAGGCUGCACUUCAUCCCUCGCCUGGGGAGUAGGCCCGACCUGAUCAAGCAGUAUGGAAGAUGGGCGGUCGUCAGUGGGGCCACAGAUGGCAAUGGGAAGGCCUAUGCUGAGGAGUUAGCAAGCCAUGGACUCAACAUCAUCCUGAUCAGCCAGGAAGAGGAGAAGCUGCAGGCUGAGGCCAAGCACAUAGCUGACACCUACAGGGUGGAGACACUUAUCCUGGUGGCAGACUUAAGCAGAGGCCAGAUUUAUGCUCCAAUCCGAGAAGCCCUGAGAGACAGAGACAUUGGCAUCCUGGUGAAUGACUGACUUGGGUGCGUUCUACCCCUAUCCUCAGUAUUUAGGCCAGGUUCCCGAGGACACACUCUGGGACAUUGUGAACGUGAACAUUGCAGCUGCGAGCGUGAUGGUGCACACAGUGUUUCCAGGGAUGGUGGAGAGAAAGAAGGGCGCCAUUGUCACAGUGUCUUCUGGCUCCUGCUGCAAGCCCACCCCACAGCUGGCUGCCUUUUCUGCAUCCAAGGCCUAUCUGGACCACUUCAGCCGAGCCAUGCAGUAUGAGUACUCCUCUAAAGGGAUCUUUGUGCAGAGUCUGAUCCCCUUCUACGUGACCAGCAGUGUGACUUUGCCUGGCAGCUUCCUGCACAGAUGCCCAUGGCUAGCGUCUUCGCCAAGAGUAUGCACAGCAUGCAGUGUCGACCCUGGGCAUUUCAAAAAGGACCACAGGCUACUGGUCCAAUUCUAUUCAGUUCCUCUUCGCACAGUAUAUGCCUGAGUGGCUCUGGGUGUGGGGUGCAAACCUCCUCAACCACUCCUUACAAAAAGAGGCCUUAUCCUGCCAAGCCUGA
This is a non-coding RNA of Arvicanthis niloticus (Nile rat), 992 nucleotides long. The record is from RefSeq and is a predicted model, not a curated record. Lineage: Eukaryota; Metazoa; Chordata; Mammalia; Rodentia; Muridae.